This 1154-nucleotide ribosomal RNA is filed under the name Ophioceras sp. Its description in RNAcentral is "eukaryotic LSU rRNA". The stretch from base 573 to 1154 matches the Rfam family "Eukaryotic large subunit ribosomal RNA", at positions 1 to 496 of the family's 3401-position model. Lineage: Eukaryota; Fungi; Ascomycota; Sordariomycetes; Magnaporthales; Ophioceraceae. The record is from RNAcentral.
GUAAAUCUCUCCCUAACCCACAUGUGAACCUUUAAACCAGGCUGCUUAAACACACUUCCCCGGUUGAUCCGGGGGGUUUGUUGCCGCAGCCGCCCGUUGCUUUUACCGCCCGGUGGCGGUGUUCCGCGCCCCCCUUCCGUUUUACAGUAAGGGUAGGGUGGGUGACGCGGGGCCUGCUACCAAUUAAAGGCGGUAAUAAUUGUUGUGUCCAUGAGCAUUUUCUGAGGAAAGGAUAUUUUAUAACAACUUUCAACAACGGAUCUCUUGGCUCUGGCAUCGAUGAAGAACGCAGCGAAAUGCGAUAAGUAUUGUGAAUUGCAGAAUCCAGUGAAUCAUCGAAUCUUUGAACGCACAUUGCGCCCGCCGGCAUUCCGGCGGGCAUGCCUGUUCGAGCGUCAUUUCAACCCUCAAAUCCCCUAGGAUUUGGUGAUGAGGCGCCCUCUUUCCUCUGAAAGGGGGGGUCUUUAAAUCUAUAGGCGGGCCUUUUAGGACUCUCAGCGCAGUAAACACACUACCGCUGGGUCAGACUUGGAAGGUUUUCUUGCCUCUAAACCCCCUAUUUAUCAAAAGGUUGACCUCGGAUCAGGUAGGAAUACCCGCUGAACUUAAGCAUAUCAAUAAGCGGAGGAAAAGAAACCAACAGGGAUUGCCUCAGUAACGGCGAGUGAAGCGGCAACAGCUCAAAUUUGAAAUCUGGUCCCUCUCGGGGUCCGAGUUGUAAUUUGCAGAGGAUGCUUUCGGCGAGGCGCUGACCGAGUCCCCUGGAAUGGGGCGCCACAGAGGGUGAGAGCCCCGUAUGAUCAGAUGCCGAACCGGUGUAAAGCUCCUUCGACGAGUCGAGUAGUUUGGGAAUGCUGCUCUAAAUGGGAGGUAAAUUUCUUCUAAAGCUAAAUACCGGCCAGAGACCGAUAGCGCACAAGUAGAGUGAUCGAAAGAUGAAAAGCACUUUGAAAAGAGAGUUAAAAAGCACGUGAAAUUGUUGAAAGGGAAGCGCCCAUGACCAGACUUGAUCUCAGGGGAUCAUCCGCCGUUUUCGGCGGUGCACUCCCCUGUGCUUCAGGCCAGCAUCGGUUCUCUCCGGGGGAUAAAAGCGCCGGGAACGUGGCUCUCUUCGGGGAGUGUUAUAGCCCAGCGUACAAUGCUCCGGGGGGGAC